This 1440-nucleotide long non-coding RNA is filed under the name Anas zonorhyncha (Eastern spot-billed duck). RNAcentral's name for it is "lncRNA (ENSAZOG00000005623.1)". The record is from RNAcentral. Lineage: Eukaryota; Metazoa; Chordata; Aves; Anseriformes; Anatidae.
UCAGACUAAAUUAUGCUCCCCACAAGCUUGUGUUCCUGCUGAGAUUCUCAAAACUCUGGUGAACAAGUUUGUCUCCAACGGCGGCAUCCAAUCAAGCUCAAACAGUGUAAAAAGGUGUUGGGGAAGCAUAUUUCACUCAGCUGUCAUCUCUUUAGCAAAUAAAAUUCCCAGAGAGCUGUCUGGAGUUUUAUGGAGAAGCCAUUUGCCAAUGAUAAGUGCCUUGGCUGUGGGAAAAAUUUUACCAGCAUGUAACAACUAUAAGGGCUAAGGAUGAAAGUAAUUGCUUACAAAACAGCUCCACAAAAUGAAAUAAAGAUAUUUGUUUCAACUCAGUGAGCAUAAACUGCCUCUUGAAGGAACAAUCUUCGAUUUUGUUUGCUUCUUUCUGGUUAAUGAAAAACCAGAUACGCUUGAUUUUCAAUAUGUGGGCAAUGACUAUAAAUACUAUGGUCCCUUGAAGCAAAUCUUUGCUCUCUGUGUUUCAGCCCAGAAAUUGACGGGGAAUGCAAAGAUACUGCACAUUUUCUUACAGGCAGUUGCAAGUCCUUUAGAAAAUAGGUUUAUCAUUAAAUAUUCCUGGUGCCUCUCCUCCCCAAAACUACCUUGUACUCCAGCAUGGAGUGCUCCAGUGGCGUGAGUACCUGUGUAACAGAUCCUUUAUGUUUCCCACAGCUCAAUCCUGCAUGCAAAUGUGGUCUAUAACAUACAGGUGCAUCUGCUAAGACACAGCAGGUGCUGAAAGAGGUGAAGGAGGAAACGCAUAGAGUUUUCUAAUCAAGGCUCGCACAGGUGCCCCAUAUAGACUUGGAUGUCCCAGCAUCAAUGGAAAGAGAAAAAUCUGCUCCUGUAAGCCCUGGGUGAAGGUCAAGGGAAGCCAGCUGGGAUGGCUAGGAUGCUUUGAGUGGGCUGGCAGGUCAGGAAGUGCACUUGGGCUUCUGCUGACAGAUUUUGGCUGGUGCUAGAAACAUAAGAUGGGGAGGCGGCGGCAGCAGCGGGCAGGAACAUUUGACCAAGCACAGCAUUUACUGCUUUGAAACAAAAUAUGGGAGAGGAGCUUCAGACAGGCAGGAUCUCCCCCUCUCUCUCCCCCCUGCUCUGGACUUUGUGCUGUUGGGUUGGUUUGCAACCAAGAGAAACACCACAUGGAAGGCCACCUUCGGAGCAUCUCCAUCCCACAUGAAAGUGGUGCACAUCCAAAGGCAGCACAGGGCAACCCACUUGCAUGAGACUGCGAGCCUGAUAUUUAUUGGGAAGGCUUUGGCCAUACAGAGAGCUCUCUACAACCAGAGAUGCCUGCAGUGAAUGUGGCUUUGAAGGGGUGGGAGUUUUCCAAGCUGCUGGGCAUUGGCCUGACACUGCUCCCAGGAAUGUCAGCUGGAAUUUCACACCUGACUCCACUGGAACCAGGGUCAAGCCAAUGCUUCGUGCUUCCCAAACUCU